This 148-nucleotide non-coding RNA is filed under the name Pan paniscus (pygmy chimpanzee). The record is from Rfam by way of RNAcentral. Lineage: Eukaryota; Metazoa; Chordata; Mammalia; Primates; Hominidae. RNAcentral also lists the same sequence under 1 other name.
GCCAGGCAUGGUGGUGCAUGCCUGUAAUCCCAGCUACUUGGGAGGCUGAGGCAGGAGAAUUGCUUGAGCCCAGGAGGCAGAGGUUGCAGUGAGCCAGGAUCACGCCACUGCACUCCAGCCUGGGCUACAGAGUGAGACUCCAUCUCCA